Molecule: ribosomal RNA, 926 nt
Filed under: Dactylocephala madagascariensis
Lineage: Eukaryota; Metazoa; Platyhelminthes; Rhabdocoela; Temnocephalidae
Description: partial large subunit ribosomal RNA
Rfam family: Eukaryotic large subunit ribosomal RNA
Source: RNAcentral
CAACUAACAAGGAUUCCCCUAGUAACAGCGAGCGAACAGGGAAUAGCCCAAAACUGAAUCCCCCAGCUUUGUUGGUGGGAAAUGUAGUUUUAGGGUGAUGUUGCGCCUUUGUGUAUUUAUUUGAAGUUCGCACGAUUGCGGCCAAUACUCAUAGAGGGUGUAAAGCCUGUGCAAAUGAAAUACACUUGGGUUUGACAUCACUCGAGAGUCGAAUUGUUUGGUAUUGCAAUUCAAAGUGGGUGGUAAACUCCAUCCAAGGCUAAAUAUAACGCUAGACCGAUAGUCAACAAGUACCGUGAGGGAAAGUUGAAAAGAACUUUGAAGAGAGAGUUAAUAGUACGUGAAAUCACCCAGAGGUAAACGGGUAAAGCUGAAAUUGGCGGUGAGGUUGAUGCUUUCCGGUGUGAGGUGCUGGCAGGAGGCUGAUUUGUUUUAGAACACCUUCGGUCGGUUUUUGCUUCUGCCGGUUGGCUGUCUCCUUGCUGUCUUGACCAUGAUCGGCGAUUGGGUCGUUUCUGGUGGGAAAAGGUAGCGAUUGAACGUUUUAGUUCGAUUGUGUUAUAGCUCCUGCUUUGAGACAGACUGUGUUUCGUCGGGCAAUUGCGGUGCAAGCCGUGUUUUAAUGGCGCACACAUUCUGCUGCGGUUGGUUGGCGCUUGGUUCACUUGUUUCAGAGUUUGCCGGGUGCAUGUGGCUGGCCGAUGGUGGGGUCUAUGUGUAUUGCAUCUAUAAUCCAUGGUUGUUUGUAGGCCAUUUACCUGUCCCGUCUUGAAACACGGACCAAGGAGUCUAACAUGUUUGCGAGUCAAUGGGCAGUACGAAACCCAGAGGCGGAGUGAAAGUAAAGGUCCACAUUUGGUGGGCUUAGGCAGGAUCGUUGCACUCACGAGUGUGAUGCGCACUGCCGACUCAUUAGAUAUUUCUAG